Molecule: unclassified non-coding RNA, 353 nt
Filed under: soil metagenome
Description: partial contains 5.8S ribosomal RNA, internal transcribed spacer 2, and large subunit ribosomal RNA
Rfam family: 5.8S ribosomal RNA (bases 1-120)
Source: RNAcentral
GAUGAAGAACGUAGCGAAAUGCGAUAAGUAAUGUGAAUUGCAGAAUUCAGUGAAUCAUCGAAUCUUUGAACGCACAUUGCGCCCGCGAGUAUUCUCGCGGGCAUGCCUGUCCGAGCGUCAUUUCAACCCUCAGGGCCCGCCUGCUUCGGCAGGCGCGGCGCUGGUGUUGGGGAUCGGCCUAACCGCCGUCCCCCAAAUACAGUGGCGGUCUCGCUGCAGCCUCCCCUGCGUAGUAGCAACACUCGCAUGCGGAGCGCGGCGCGGCCACGCCGUAAAACCCCCGACUUUCUGAACGUUGACCUCGGAUCAGGUAGGAAUACCCGCUUAACUUAAGCAUAUCAAUAAGCGGAGGA